UACAUAGGGGGCAAGUGUUAUCCGGAUUUAUUGGGUGUAAAGGGUGCGUAGACGGAGAAACAAGUUGGUUGUGAAAUCCCUCGGCUCAACUGAGGAACUGCAACCAAAACUAUUUCCCUUGAGUGUCGGAGAGGAAAGUGGAAUUCCUAGUGUAGCGGUGAAAUGCGUAGAUAUUAGGAGGAACACCGGUGGCGAAGGCGACUUUCUGGACGAUAACUGACGUUGAGGCACGAAAGUGUGGGGAGCAAACAGG
This 253-nucleotide ribosomal RNA is filed under the name uncultured bacterium. RNAcentral describes it as "partial 16S ribosomal RNA". It matches the Rfam family "Bacterial small subunit ribosomal RNA", at positions 524 to 776 of the family's 1533-position model. The record is from RNAcentral.